This 253-nucleotide ribosomal RNA is filed under the name uncultured bacterium. Its description in RNAcentral is "partial 16S ribosomal RNA". It matches the Rfam family "Bacterial small subunit ribosomal RNA", at positions 524 to 776 of the family's 1533-position model. The record is from RNAcentral.
UACGUAGGGGGCAAGCGUUGUCCGGAAUCAUUGGGCGUAAAGCGCGUGUAGGCGGCUCGGUAAGUCUGCUGUGAAAGUCCAGGGCUCAACCCUGGGAUGCCGGUGGAUACUGUCGAGCUCGAGUCCGGAAGAGGCGAGUGGAAUUCCUGGUGUAGCGGUGAAAUGCGCAGAUAUCAGGAGGAACACCGAUGGCGAAGGCGGCUCGCUGGGACGUGACUGACGCUGAGACGCGAAAGCGUGGGGAGCAAACGGG